AGCUAUAUGAGAUAAUAUAUAGUUAUUUCUGCUCCAUGAUUAUUAAAUAGCCGCAGUACCCUGACUGUGCAAAGGUAGCAUAAUCAGUUGGCUUUUAAUUAGAGUCUGGUAUGAAUGAAAAUAUGGGUGGUAACUGUCUUAACAUAUUUAUUUGAACUUAUUGAGCAAGUGCAAAUACUUGUAAACUUAAAAAAGACGAGAAGACCCUAGAAACUUGAAAAUAGUUUUGUUGGGGCGACAGAAUUACAUUUAACCAAUUUUAAAAGACAUGACAUUUAAUUGAAAGAAUAAGUUACUCUAGGGAUAACAGCAUAAUUUAAAUAGUUUGUGACCUCGAUGUUGGACUAGGUAUUAUACUCUUAAGGCAAGAAUAUAAAAUGCUCUGUUCGAGCAGUUUCACCUACAU
RNAcentral lists this ribosomal RNA (406 nucleotides) under Helix melanostoma. RNAcentral's name for it is "partial 16S ribosomal RNA". It matches the Rfam family "Bacterial large subunit ribosomal RNA", at positions 1832 to 2601 of the family's 2925-position model. Lineage: Eukaryota; Metazoa; Mollusca; Gastropoda; Stylommatophora; Helicidae. The record is from RNAcentral.